AUGAGAACCAUAAUGAGAAUCACAAUGAGAACAAUCAUGAGAACCAUAAUGAGAACCAUCAUGAUGAUCAUCAUGACAAUAUUUAUUUUCUUUCUAUCCCUGGUGCCGCCUACACUAAAGCUACUUCCUGUAAACCCCCACACACACACACACACACACACCACACACACACACCCACACACACCCUAUACACACACACACACACACACACUACACACACACACACACACACACACACACACACACACACACACACACACACACACACACACACACACACACACACACACACACACACACACACACACACACACCCCCCAUCAACGACAUGCCGAGUGA
RNAcentral lists this long non-coding RNA (339 nucleotides) under Gouania willdenowi (blunt-snouted clingfish). RNAcentral describes it as "lncRNA (ENSGWIG00000011846.1)". The record is from RNAcentral. Lineage: Eukaryota; Metazoa; Chordata; Actinopteri; Blenniiformes; Gobiesocidae.